GCAAUCAAUUAGCGCUGGUCUCCUAGGAGACCGCAUGCCCCACCCUCUGGGUUAAAGAAAAGGACUCAGGGAGGUAAAAAUGCAUUUCUAUGGAACCUGGGAAUUCUCCUGAGCCCCUUUUUAUGGAUUCGAUGCAUCAAGCAGAGUAUCACUUAUCCGAUACACAUAUCGGUCUUCUCGGAUUGUUAAGUACAUUCUAGGAUGGAGAUCACCACAGAUCCCUGCAGACAAGGAUGGAGACACCACAGAUCCCCAUAGACAAGGAUGGAGACACCACAGAUUCCUGCAGACAAGGAUGGAGACACCACAGAUCCCCAUAGACAAGGAUGGAGACCACCACAGAUUCCUGCAGACAAGGAGCAAAAUAUGAGGUUACCAAGAGGAGCUGUUAUCGCAUCUUGGUAGUUGUGACUGGUGACCAGCUACUUCAAGUUCCUGUGGCCUCGACCUCCCUGUCAUGACGGACUGUACCUUGAACUGCGAGCUAAAAUAAACUCUUAGGUUGCUUUCA
Long non-coding RNA from Mesocricetus auratus (golden hamster), 511 nucleotides. RefSeq lists it as uncharacterized. The record is from RefSeq and is a predicted model, not a curated record. Lineage: Eukaryota; Metazoa; Chordata; Mammalia; Rodentia; Cricetidae. The transcript is spliced from 3 exons.